Manihot esculenta (cassava) is the source of this 3654-nucleotide RNA transcript. It is a transcript of the gene named probable glycerol-3-phosphate dehydrogenase [NAD(+)] 1, cytosolic, with no coding region annotated. NCBI's taxonomy places the organism in Eukaryota, Viridiplantae, Streptophyta, Magnoliopsida, Malpighiales, Euphorbiaceae. The transcript has 6 exons. The record is from RefSeq and is a predicted model, not a curated record.
CUUCCGUUUCAGCGGACAAUUUCCAUGUUAUUUAUUUUCCGAAAAGAAAAGGGGGGAGCAUUUCUAUUCAUACUACGAUUUGUCGUGUUUAGGGAGGCCCUGACGACAGCGUAUUGCGCUAAUGAUUUUUGCCAGGUGGCAACAUCAGAUAAACCAAAGCUCAUCGUAAGAGCACAUCAGCAUCAGCUGUCCUGUGGGCUCUCAGGCAACGCAAGAGCUUCUACGCUCUUCGAUGCAAACGCCGCCAUCUUCUUCUUCUUGGUUACUUCCUGCAAGAAAACCAGGCCAAACACGCAUUCCUUCUUUGUAUUCCAUCUCAAAAUACCUAUUUUGUUUUUCAUGAGGAUGCGUGAUUUUUCUCGCUUUCAGACAUAGAAGCAAACAAAAAUCCAGAAUUGGUGUCACCGCGUUGAGAAGCCGACAGUAGAGUUUCGCUUUCCUUUCUCUCUGUGUCACCAGUCUCUUUUUUGUUGACUGCCUUUUGUGGGGUUAGAUGACCGAGGCUGUGCACCGCUUUUCCAAAAUUGUGAUCUUUGGUUUCUUUGUAAUUUCAUACUUGGGUUGUGGACAGAUGCUGAUUCGAUAAAGUACCAUGAAAAACCCGUGUUGUAAAAUUCUUUAAGAAUCCAUGUUCUACACUUCUGGGUCUAUGGUCUAUUGCUAUAUUUGACUGCUGAUUUGCAGAUCUAGGCUCUUAAGACUUGCUCCAGGAAUAAAGCAUAUGUAUAAAUUGAAAUUCGGCUUUUUCAAAGUCCAAAGAAAUUGAUCGGUUUCGAGUUUAUCGUAUUGAAUAUUCUGUGUGGAGCUUAGGGUAUAUUUCCAGAAAGCUUUUUGUGCUUUGGUAUUGUUGCUGCCCAUACUUUAUAGCGAUUUCUUAUUGAAGGCAGUAUUUGGCAGGACAGAAUGAUUGAGAAGACUGAACCAUCGACUCUCAAUGUGUACUCCAAUGGGUCAAUUCAGAAUCAGACCUCAAAUGGUGCUUUAGAAGAGAAGCUGGAUGAGCUUCGACAUCUCAUAGGCAAAGCAGAAGGUGAUCCCUUGAGGAUUGUUGGAAUUGGUGCAGGUGCCUGGGGGAGUGUAUUUACUGCCUUAUUGCAAGAUAGUUAUGGCCAUCUAAGGGAUAAGGUUCUAAUUAGGAUAUGGAGAAGGCCUGGCAGAUCAGUUGAUAGGGCCACAUCUGAGCACCUGUUUGAAGUGAUCAAUUCCAGGGAAGAUGUAUUAAGGAGAUUGAUUAGGCGCUGUGCAUACUUGAAGUAUGUUGAGGCAAGAUUAGGUGAUAGGACUUUACAUGCUGAUGAGAUUUUGAAAGAUGGCUUUUGCUUGAAUAUGAUAGAUACCCCUCUUUGCCCUUUGAAGGUUGUGACCAAUUUGCAGGAGGCUGUGUGGGAUGCUGAUAUUGUCAUUAAUGGGUUGCCAUCAACUGAAACGCGCGAGGUGUUUGAGGAAAUUAGUAGGUAUUGGAAGGAGAGGAUCACGGUACCAGUUAUUAUCUCUUUGGCAAAGGGCGUAGAGGCUGAGUUGGAGCCGGAGCCUCGCAUAAUAACCCCCACUCAAAUGAUCAACAGAGCAACUGGAGUUCCAAUGGAGAACAUCCUUUACCUUGGAGGACCUAACAUUGCAUCAGAGAUUUACAAUAAGGAAUAUGCUAAUGCUCGAAUAUGUGGAGCAGAAAAAUGGAGGAAACCUUUGGCAAAGUUUUUAAGGCAGCCUCAUUUUAUAGUAUGGGAUAAUGGUGACCUUGUUACUCAUGAAGUCAUGGGUGGUCUAAAAAAUGUCUAUGCCAUCGGAGCUGGAAUGAUGGCAGCUCUUACAAAUGAGAGUGCAACCAGUAAAUCAGUGUACUUUGCACACUGUACAUCAGAGAUGAUAUUUAUCACACAUUUGUUGGCAGAAGAACCUGAGAAACUUGCCGGUCCCCUGUUGGCUGACACUUACGUAACCUUGUUGAAAGGGCGUAAUGCAUGGUAUGGUCAGCAGCUAGCCAAAGGAGAGUUGAACCUUGAAAUGGGCGAUAGCAUUAAGGGCAAGGGGAUGAUUCAGGGUGUCUCUGCAGUGAAAGCAUUUUAUGAACUGCUAAGUGAAUCCUGCUUAAGUGUCCUGCAUCCUGAAGAAAACAAGCCUGUAGCUCCAGUUGCACUUUGCCCCAUAUUAAAGAUGCUAUAUAGAAUACUCAUCGCAAGGGAGUUUUCAGUACAGGCCAUUCUUCAAGUAUUAAGGGAUGAAACUAUGAAUGACCCAAGAGAUCGCAUUGAGAUAGCACAAAGCCAUGUAUUCUAUAGGCCGGCACUCCUAGGACAGAAACCUUGAUGAUGCAUCGCCUAUCCUUUACAUCUUGUUUUGUCACUCGUCAAUGGUUGCAUGUAACCAUCUAAAAUAGUUCCACAGUUUUGGGUUUGGAAGCUAAACUAUUACGAUAAACAAAGAACAGGGCUUCUCAGACUCGUUCUUUGCUCUAUGUUUCAAAACUUGUGGAAUUGAAAGAAAAUCUCUUCUUGUUGAUUUAAAAGAAAAACUAAUGGAAUAUGAUGACAUUUAUUUUAGCUGAGGGAGAUCAUUAUCAUGUCAAUGCAAUAUUCAACGUGGAAGCUGCUUCGUUUUGAGACUAAAACUAGGUGAUUCAUUUGUGCUCCCCAUCCCCAUGAAUGAAAGAGACUCGGAAUGCCGAAGAACUGAGCCUAAAGCGAAUGCCAUGUGCUAGCAUAGCAGUAAUACAAACUUCAAUUUGCAUUUAGAGUGGCUUAGCAAAACUGAUACCAAAAUGAACCAAGUCCGAACAUUUUCAGCGGUAUAUAGGCCUGAAUGACAUUAUAUGCUAGUCCCAACAUUUUCAAGGGCAUAUAGGCCUGAAGUAAAUUAUGAAAGAGUAAUCACAGAUUCACUACUUAAAUCAUAUUGGGGGGCUGGAGUUUGUAUGUCUGGCUCAAUGCGUGUUUUUUGCACCACUAUUGGCAGGGGCCUAAGAUUUUAUGCUCACCGUGGAUUGAGUUCAUGAAGCAGUAUCUGCGCAUUAGUUUGGUACUAGGAGUUUGGGCUUCUGUUUAUAGGAGGAGGCAUGAGCAAUAGAUGUCUCGUUUUGGACACAUAUACAAGGACGUUAAAGAGAAGGAUAUGGAUUACAAAAUAGUCAAGGACUCGGGGUAAAUGUAGAUCUUAUAGCAUAGAUUCUUUUAACUUUGAGGCAGGCAGAUCUACAGACUUGGUCUCAAUCAGUUUGCGGAUCUUACGAAUGAAAAUUUCAGAUACUUGAGAUGACUGAAUAAUUUCUAACUCUCAAUCAAAAUGUAGGCUCCUGUUGGGCAUUUUCAGCGGUUGGAGUAGUGAGAUUAGGGCUGUCAGGGUAUAUGAUGGACAGUGCCUUAAAAUUUAUUGAAAAGCAUGGCUCAUCCGGUAUGCAGCCGAACCGUCAACCAAGAAAACCUGGUACGAAGAUGCCCCAGCCAGACAUGUAGUCUCAUCCAAUAUAAAACCACCUGACAGUUUUGUGUUAACAAAGGUACAAGCUUUUGCUAGAUGAACAUCAGGAUGUUUCAUUUGUAAACUGUUAGGCAAGACAUCGUACAUUCAUCCCAUGAUUGAACAAUGGUCGUACAAUGUUUUAGCUUUUGAGAUGUAUUGGUACCAUUAUACUAUAUUGAUGAAAGAAAAUUUCUCGUA